This 301-nucleotide ribosomal RNA is filed under the name uncultured bacterium. RNAcentral describes it as "partial 16S ribosomal RNA". It matches the Rfam family "Bacterial small subunit ribosomal RNA", at positions 509 to 807 of the family's 1533-position model. The record is from RNAcentral.
CAGUCGCCGCGGGAAUACGAAGGGGGCUAGCGUUGUCCGGAUUUACUGGGCGUAAAGCGCACGUAGGCGGAUCGAUCAGUCAGGGGUGAAAUCCUGGAGCUCAACUCCAGAACUGCCUUUGAUACUGUCGAUCUCGAGUCCGGAAGAGGUGAGUGGAACUCCUAGUGUAGAGGUGGAAUUCGUAGAUAUUAGGAAGAACACCAGUGGCGAAGGCGGCUCACUGGUCCGGUACUGACGCUGAGGUGCGAAAGCGUGGGGAGCAAACAGGAUUAGAUACCCCGGUAGUCCCUGUCUCUUAUAC